Molecule: long non-coding RNA, 2622 nt
Organism: Ostrea edulis (European flat oyster)
Lineage: Eukaryota; Metazoa; Mollusca; Bivalvia; Ostreida; Ostreidae
Exons: 5
Source: RefSeq, a predicted model, not a curated record
UAUACUCUUCACCCCUACUAACGUGUUCGGAACAUAUUCUUUAUCGGUGUUAAGUAGAGCGUAAAAUCAAAGACUAUCGAAUGAAAUAUAAUCUCGCUGCUCCGAGACUCAAACGCGAGCUACCUGAGACCCGGUGAAUUUUCUACCGGAUAUGGAUGUGCUUUAAGGAAUUCCAGUGUUAAUUGUACUUUUUGGGGACUUUGAGUGAUUCACCACCCUUUGAACAAAUGUAUUUUGAGAUCCUCAAAGGAAUCCUAGAUUUGUCAAGAAGCCAUGUUUUAAUUGCUGCCCAUCAAAUAGUACAGUGUCUUGCAUGUGUAAAUUAUUUAUUUCCGGUUUCCUUCACUGCGGAAUUUGACCUCACCUAGCACCUCUAACCUUUUAAUGGGUCAAAAAACCCACGUGGUGUAAAUUUAAAUAACGAUAACGUUAGUAGGGGUGCUCUUGCGCAACAGAAAAAAGGACCAAGCUGCCCACAACGAAGAAAUGACGACGAGACAAUCCACAACACAAGCUCCAAAGGAGAGUCGUGACUGGAUUACUAAACAGAUCUGGGUAGGGGCUCUCUCCAGCAUCACCCUAUUCCUCGUGGGAUACCACUUCCUGCCGUUAAAGAUAACGAACGUCAAGACUUCCGCCGACGCUCUCGUUUUCACAGUCCAGUCUCUAUUCAUAUCUUCAAUUCCAAUGUUGGCCAACAUUCAAUUUAUUUCAAGCAUACGCUUCAACUCUAAGGCAAUCGAUCCCAUCAGAGGCGGGGGAGAGGAUUUGGUGGGCGUUCCCAACAGGAUCCUCAGAAACACGAUGGAACAGUUCCUGGUUCACGCAGUGGCCUUGCUGACACUGAGUACGUUCCUUGAUGAGACCUCCCUCAAGGCCAUUCCUAUCUUGUCUGGGAUAUUUGUUCUGUUCCGGUUUUUGUUUUGGUGGGGGUAUCAGAACUCCCCUCUGAACAGGGCGGUGGGUAUGAGCGGUACCGCUCUUCCCACUUUUCUUGUAUAUUUCUACUGUUUGUACCGCAUCGUAAAAAGUAUAGUUUUAUAAAUAACCCGUUACUAAUAUUUAAUUUACGUUGUGUUUGAUUCCCCUCGUCAAUUUCUAAAUCUGAAAUGUACUAAAUGUAAAGGUGAAGAUCAAACUCAUAACUUCUAUAAGGAAUACAAAAUAAGAAUUGGGCAAACACGGACUCCUGGACAUGCCUAAAUUUAAUUCAAAAUUAAUUACAAUGCUAAUUAAUUUCUACAUAAAGCAAGUCGCACCAUUUAAAACUGAUACUAUCAUUGAGCCUGAUAGAGACACGUAUUCUGCAUGUUGUCCCUAAAGGCCUCAGCCUUUGUUUUGUAUUGUAAAUACCUAAGUCACUCAGGUAAAACGCGUUAUAUUUAGAUUAAGAAUCCCCCCAAAUAAAUCUAGCGAAUACAAAAGAAGUUGGGUUUAGAUUAAUUGCUGUUCCGGUAUAUUCUUGCAUCGGAAUGUGAUGCCAGAAAAGACUUGGUGUACAGAAGCAGUUGGAUGCAGUGAUGUGACACGGUGUACAAUGUAAAAGUACACACUUAACAAACACGGCUUCACAGAGAACACGUGGACUUGUGGAAUGCGUUCAUUUCCGGAUGAUCGUCAGUUCGUGGUAAGGGCCGGUUUUGCGGGAGUUUUCAGCACAGUUUUGCUCGGUUGCUUAGGAUACCUCGUGUGCCCAUUCUCCAUCCCGUUAUCAGAUUCCAUCCUCACACGACUGGUGUACACUCUGAGAUGGCAGCUAUUCCCCGCCAUUACCCUGAUUUCUGGAGUUUUGUGUGUGAUGUACAUGCGGUUUCAAAGUUCUGCAAUAAACCCGGUGCUAGGCCGCGGCGAACAUAUUAUCGAGACUCACCAGCGAUAUCUUCGGAAUACGACAGAACAAUUUGUUCUUCACAUGAUUGGACAACUCAUGCUUUGCACGUAUCUGACGUCACAAUCACUUGCCGUAAUCCCUCUCUGUUCCAUUCUGUUUGUGAUUGGACGUGUUGCAUUUUGGGUAGGUUAUAUUAAAGAGCCUCUAAGACGAAUGUUUGGGUUUAUGAUAACCUUUUCAAUAACUUUAGGCAGUCUUUCGUAUUGUUUAUUUUGUUUUGUAAUGGCUGGCCCCACAUUUGCUCUACAUGAUUGACAGCUUUAGACAUUAUUGUAUGUAUUUUAAUUAAAAGCAUGUGAAUUGUAAUUGUAUAUACAUAUUAUAGCUAAGAAGUGUGUAUGUAUUGUAUUUUAGUACAUUAUGCAUAUCGAAUUCCGUGAUUGAUAGGUACUUUUCUUUUUUAUUUUACUGUAAACUUAUAUAUAUCCUGAGACAUAUAUAAGCAUUCUUCAGACUGGGAAGACUAUAUGGGGUUGCGCUCUACGUGUUUAUUCUGGUACAACGUUGGGUGUGGCUGACCAGUGUCAAGACAAUAAAAUAUGCUACAAGCAAACUUGGUAGACACAGCAAACAUAAAUGGGAUUUCUUUUAAUUCGAGGAAUGUCUAGACUAUACCACCAUGCUUCCAGUGUUUUUUUAAAAAUACAUUUUUUCUUUAUAUCAAAUUUUACAAAUUGGUUGAACUGUUGAAAUAUUUGAAUUGGUGAUUGCAAAUAAAUAUACGGGUAUUG